UAUUUUGUUGUGAUUUUAAGACAACUGAUUUUGUUUCCUUAGUUAAGGAAACAAAAUCAGUUGUCUUAAAAUCACAACAAAAGA
This 84-nucleotide microRNA precursor is filed under the name Olea europaea subsp. europaea. Lineage: Eukaryota; Viridiplantae; Streptophyta; Magnoliopsida; Lamiales; Oleaceae. The record is from RNAcentral.